UACGUAGGGGGCUAGCGUUGUCCGGAAUCAUUGGGCGUAAAGCGCGUGUAGGCGGUUCGGUAAGUCCGCUGUGAAAGUCGGGGGCUCAACCCUCGGAAGCCGGUGGAUACUGUCGGGCUAGAGUACGGAAGAGGCGAGUGGAAUUCCUGGUGUAGCGGUGAAAUGCGCAGAUAUCAGGAGGAACACCAAUUGCGAAGGCAGCUCGCUGGGACGUUACUGACGCUGAGACGCGAAAGCGUGGGGAGCAAACGGG
RNAcentral lists this ribosomal RNA (253 nucleotides) under uncultured bacterium. RNAcentral's name for it is "partial 16S ribosomal RNA". It matches the Rfam family "Bacterial small subunit ribosomal RNA", at positions 524 to 776 of the family's 1533-position model. The record is from RNAcentral.